UAUACAUUUAUUAAUCAGUGCUAAUCCCCGCAUUUUUAGUCUCCGCUACAACAAUGCGCUCUGCAUCGUUCCCGCUUCCAUCUGUUUGAAGAUUAAAGUGUACACGAAAGACGACUCGCCUCAUAACAGUCACUUGUGAUUGGCUGAAUGUUAAUUCACUCAAAUCUAUGUAACUAACCAGAUAACAUGGGCGGGGAUAUUGGCGGAGGUGUGUCGAAAAAGUGCGGAGGACGGAACCAUUUUUAUCUGAAAGUGGGGGUAUUCCCGCACAUGGUGCCACGCCUAUUUAGCGCAGAUGCGUGAUUUAAGUCUUAAAAAUCAAGUGCUUAUGUACAUUUAUAAAAAUAUAUUUUGUAUUGCGGGUUUAUUUGGUGCCCCUAAAGUCUUGCCCAAUUGCCCAUAUGGUUAAUCCGCCUCUGGCUUAGUGGAAAAACUGGCUUCUUCCUCUGAGGAACAUUUGGAAAAUAACACACAUUAUGUCCCACAUUGAGGCUCAACAAAAAGAGGCUAAAAUGUUUACACAGGUUUUUUAAGAAGUGCCAGUAUUAAAAGGUGCUUGAACAUAUCUUGAAUAUGCUUUUCUCUUAUGGACAAUAACAUGCAAAAUGUCACAAUCACAAUGAAUAACAUUUAAUUCAAGUUAGUAAUUUUAAGAUCUUUUUUUAACCCCCAACCUAUUUUAACCAAUUAAGAAAAGGUAUAAUUUAUACUAUUACCAGUGUAGUAUAAAUUCUAACAACAAGAAUAGAACAUUUAACUGUUGUUUCAUUUCAGGUGCUGAAGAGGCCAACCCUGAACAAUUUGAACUAUGUCCUCUGAUCAACCCUGGACAACAAGAACAUCCACAACGUGCUGAGGAUCGAGGACAACAGUGAACAAAACGAACAUUAAGA
Molecule: long non-coding RNA, 893 nt
Organism: Triplophysa rosa
Lineage: Eukaryota; Metazoa; Chordata; Actinopteri; Cypriniformes; Nemacheilidae
Exons: 3
Source: RefSeq, a predicted model, not a curated record